GACAAACGCUGGCGGCGUGCCUAAUACAUGCAAGUCGAACGACGAAAGCCUUCGGGCAAGUAAGAGUGGCGCACGGGCGAGGAACACGUAGAUAAUCUGCCCUUCAGUGGGGAAUAACUCUCCGAAAGGAGUGCUAAUACCGCAUAAGACCACAAGCUCUGCGGAGCAAGGGGUUAAAGGAUUUAUUCGCUGAAGGAUGAGUCUGCGUCCGAUUAGCUAGUUGGUGAGGUAAUGGCUUACCAAGGCAAUGAUCGGUAGAUGGUCUGAGAGGAUGAUAAUCCGCACUGGAACUGAGACACGGUCCAGACGCCUACGGGAGGCAGCAGUAGGGAAUAUUGCAAAAUGGGGGAAACCCUGAUGCAGCAACGCCGCGUGAGUGAUGAAGGCUCUAGGGUCGUAAAGCUCUGUCGUAUGGGAAGAAAAAAAUGACGGUACCAUACAAGAAAGGACCGGCCAACUUCGUGCCAGCAGCCGCCGUAA
This 480-nucleotide ribosomal RNA is filed under the name uncultured bacterium. RNAcentral's name for it is "partial 16S ribosomal RNA". It matches the Rfam family "Bacterial small subunit ribosomal RNA", at positions 28 to 523 of the family's 1533-position model. The record is from RNAcentral.